This 905-nucleotide ribosomal RNA is filed under the name Bifidobacterium animalis subsp. lactis. RNAcentral describes it as "bacterial SSU rRNA". It matches the Rfam family "Bacterial small subunit ribosomal RNA", at positions 40 to 936 of the family's 1533-position model. The record is from RNAcentral. Lineage: Bacteria; Bacillati; Actinomycetota; Actinomycetes; Bifidobacteriales; Bifidobacteriaceae.
CUGCGCGUGCUUAAACAUGCAAGUUCGAACGGUUUUCCCUGGCAGCUUGCUGUCGGGGUGAGAGUGGCGAACGGGUGAGUAAUGCGUGACCAACCUGCCCUGUGCACCGGAAUAGCUCCUGGAAACGGGUGGUAAUACCGGAUGCUCCGCUCCAUCGCAUGGUGGGGUGGGAAAUGCUUUUGCGGCAUGGGAUGGGGUCGCGUCCUAUCAGCUUGUUGGCGGGGUGAUGGCCCACCAAGGCGUUGACGGGUAGCCGGCCUGAGAGGGUGACCGGCCACAUUGGGACUGAGAUACGGCCCAGACUCCUACGGGAGGCAGCAGUGGGGAAUAUUGCACAAUGGGCGCAAGCCUGAUGCAGCGACGCCGCGUGCGGGAUGGAGGCCUUCGGGUUGUAAACCGCUUUUGUUCAAGGGCAAGGCACGGUUUCGGCCGUGUUGAGUGGAUUGUUCGAAUAAGCACCGGCUAACUACGUGCCAGCAGCCGCGGUAAUACGUAGGGUGCGAGCGUUAUCCGGAUUUAUUGGGCGUAAAGGGCUCGUAGGCGGUUCGUCGCGUCCGGUGUGAAAGUCCAUCGCCUAACGGUGGAUCUGCGCCGGGUACGGGCGGGCUGGAGUGCGGUAGGGGAGACUGGAAUUCCCGGUGUAACGGUGGAAUGUGUAGAUAUCGGGAAGAACACCAAUGGCGAAGGCAGGUCUCUGGGCCGUCACUGACGCUGAGGAGCGAAAGCGUGGGGAGCGAACAGGAUUAGAUACCCUGGUAGUCCACGCCGUAAACGGUGGAUGCUGGAUGUGGGGCCCUUUCCACGGGUCCCGUGUCGGAGCCAACGCGUUAAGCAUCCCGCCUGGGGAGUACGGCCGCAAGGCUAAAAACUCAAAGAAAUUGACGGGGGCCCGCACAAGCGGCGGA